RNAcentral lists this ribosomal RNA (253 nucleotides) under uncultured bacterium. Its description in RNAcentral is "partial 16S ribosomal RNA". It matches the Rfam family "Bacterial small subunit ribosomal RNA", at positions 524 to 776 of the family's 1533-position model. The record is from RNAcentral.
UACGUAGGAGACGAGCGUUGUCCGGAAUCAUUGGGCGUAAAGCGCGUGUAGGCGGCUCGAUAAGUCUGCUGUGAAAGUCCAGGGCUCAACCCUGGGAUGCCGGUGGAUACUGUCGAGCUCGAGUCCGGAAGAGGCGAGUGGAAUUCCUGGUGUAGCGGUGAAAUGCGCAGAUAUCAGGAGGAACACCAAUGGCGAAGGCAGCUCGCUGGGACGGUACUGACGCUGAGACGCGAAAGCGUGGGGAGCAAACAGG